GCCGAAAUAACUCAGUUGGUAGAGUAACUCAUUCGUAAUGAGUAAGUCGCGGGUUCGAGUCCCGCUUUCGGCUCCU
This 76-nucleotide transfer RNA is filed under the name Phocaeicola plebeius. RNAcentral's name for it is "Bacteroides plebeius tRNA-Thr". It matches the Rfam family "tRNA". From Rfam's summary of the family: Transfer RNA (tRNA) molecules are approximately 80 nucleotides in length. Their secondary structure includes four short double-helical elements and three loops (D, anti-codon, and T loops). The record is from RNAcentral. Lineage: Bacteria; Pseudomonadati; Bacteroidota; Bacteroidia; Bacteroidales; Bacteroidaceae.